Molecule: transfer RNA, 63 nt
Filed under: Strongyloides sp. EN-2020b
Lineage: Eukaryota; Metazoa; Nematoda; Chromadorea; Rhabditida; Strongyloididae
Description: tRNA-Met
Source: RNAcentral
AAUAAGUUAGUAUAAUUGAUUACAUUGGGCUCAUACCCUGAAGAUGGUUUUUACCACUUAUUU